AAACCUCAGCGAUGGAUAUCUCGGCUUUCGUAACGAUGAAGAACGCAGCAAACUGCGAAAACCACUGCGAAUUGCAGAACCAUGAGUCAGUAGAUUUUCGAACGCAACCGGUGCCUUCUGGGCAUGUUUGGUUCAGUGCCU
This 141-nucleotide ribosomal RNA is filed under the name Stentor roeselii. RNAcentral's name for it is "5.8S ribosomal RNA". It matches the Rfam family "5.8S ribosomal RNA". From Rfam's summary of the family: 5.8S ribosomal RNA (5.8S rRNA) is a component of the large subunit of the eukaryotic ribosome. It is transcribed by RNA polymerase I as part of the 45S precursor that also contains 18S and 28S rRNA. Functionally, it is thought that 5.8S rRNA may be involved in ribosome translocation. Lineage: Eukaryota; Ciliophora; Heterotrichea; Heterotrichida; Stentoridae. The record is from RNAcentral.